RNAcentral lists this ribosomal RNA (450 nucleotides) under uncultured bacterium. Its description in RNAcentral is "bacterial SSU rRNA". It matches the Rfam family "Bacterial small subunit ribosomal RNA", at positions 354 to 796 of the family's 1533-position model. The record is from RNAcentral.
GUGGGGAAUUUUGGACAAUGGGCGCAAGCCUGAUCCAGCAAUGCCGCGUGCAGGAAGAAGGCCUUCGGGUUGUAAACUGCUUUUGUACGGAACGAAACGGUCCGGGUUAAUACCCUGGGCUAAUGACGGUACCGUAAGAAUAAGCACCGGCUAACUACGUGCCAGCAGCCGCGGUAAUACGUAGGGUGCAAGCGUUAAUCGGAAUUACUGGGCGUAAAGCGUGCGCAGGCGGUUUUGUAAGACAGAGGUGAAAUCCCCGGGCUCAACCUGGGAAUUGCCUUUGUGACUGCAAGGCUGGAGUGCGGCAGAGGGGGAUGGAAUUCCGCGUGUAGCAGUGAAAUGCGUAGAUAUGCGGAGGAACACCGAUGGCGAAGGCAAUCCCCUGGGCCUGCACUGACGCUCAUGCACGAAAGCGUGGGGAGCAAACAGGAUUAGAAACCCCGGUAGUCC